This 497-nucleotide ribosomal RNA is filed under the name uncultured bacterium. RNAcentral describes it as "partial 16S ribosomal RNA". It matches the Rfam family "Bacterial small subunit ribosomal RNA", at positions 28 to 507 of the family's 1533-position model. The record is from RNAcentral.
GAUGAACGCUGGCGGCGUGCCUAAUACAUGCAAGUCGAGCGAACAGACGAGGAGCUUGCUCCUCUGACGUUAGCGGCGGACGGGUGAGUAACACAUGGAUAACCUACCUAUAAGACUGGGAUAACUUCGGGAAACCGGAGCUAAUACCGGAUAAUAUAUUGAACCGCAUGGUUCAAUAGUGAAAGACGGUUUUGCUGUCACUUAUAGAUGGAUCCGCGCCGCAUUAACUAGUUGGUAAGGUAACGGCUUACCAAGGCGACGAUGCGUAGCCGACCUGAGAGGGUGAUCGGCCACACUGGAACUGAGACACGGUCCAGACUCCUACGGGAGACAGCAGUAGGGAAUCUUCCGCAAUGGGCGAAAGCCUGACGGAGCAACGCCGCGUGAGUGAUGAAGGUCUUCGGAUCGUAAAACUCUGUUAUUAGGGAAGAACAAAUGUGUAAGUAACUAUGCACGUCUUGACGGUACCUAAUCAGAAAGCCACGGCUAACUACGUG